AAAAUCGGCAGCGCAGACUUGGGCAGCCGCAGGCAUGUCAGCAAAAAUCGGCAGCCCUGAUGAAAUCGGCCAAGUCGACCGAAUUGGCUGCGGACGGCGAGGCUUGACUGGCAAGGCUUGACGAAGACGAGGGCUGGUCCAGAAACUGGGGCGGUGGCAGCGAUGCCACCGGAUUGAAAAAUCGGCAGCGCAGAUUUGUGCAGCUGCAGGCAUGUCGGG
This is a long non-coding RNA of Populus euphratica (Euphrates poplar), 219 nucleotides long. RefSeq lists it as uncharacterized. The transcript has 2 exons. The record is from RefSeq and is a predicted model, not a curated record. Lineage: Eukaryota; Viridiplantae; Streptophyta; Magnoliopsida; Malpighiales; Salicaceae.